GGGCUUGUAGCUCAGUUGGGAGAGCGCUACAAUCGCACUGUAGAGGUCAAGAGUUCGAGUCUCUUCAGGUCCA
This 73-nucleotide transfer RNA is filed under the name Anaerolineae bacterium. Its description in RNAcentral is "tRNA-Ala". It matches the Rfam family "tRNA". Rfam says of the family: Transfer RNA (tRNA) molecules are approximately 80 nucleotides in length. Their secondary structure includes four short double-helical elements and three loops (D, anti-codon, and T loops). Further hydrogen bonds mediate the characteristic L-shaped molecular structure. tRNAs have two regions of fundamental functional importance: the anti-codon, which is responsible for specific mRNA codon recognition, and the 3' end, to which the tRNAs corresponding amino acid is attached (by aminoacyl-tRNA synthetases). tRNAs cope with the degeneracy of the genetic code in two manners: having more than one tRNA (with a specific anti-codon) for a particular amino acid; and 'wobble' base-pairing, i.e. permitting non-standard base-pairing at the 3rd anti-codon position. The record is from RNAcentral. Lineage: Bacteria; Bacillati; Chloroflexota; Anaerolineae.